UACGUAGGUGGCAAGCGUUAUCCGGAAUUAUUGGGCGUAAAGGGAGCGUAGGCGGUUUAUUAAGUCUAUGGUGAAAGUUCGGGGCUCAACCCCGUGAUGCCAUAGAAACUGGUAGACUUGAGUACAAGAGAGGUUAGUGGAAUUCCAUGUGUAGCGGUAAAAUGCGUAGAUAUAUGGAGGAACACCAGUGGCGAAGGCGGCUAACUGGCUUGUAACUGACGCUGAGGCUCGAAAGCGUGGGGAGCGAAUAGG
This 252-nucleotide ribosomal RNA is filed under the name uncultured bacterium. RNAcentral's name for it is "partial 16S ribosomal RNA". It matches the Rfam family "Bacterial small subunit ribosomal RNA", at positions 524 to 776 of the family's 1533-position model. The record is from RNAcentral.